This is a long non-coding RNA of Capsicum annuum, 314 nucleotides long. RefSeq lists it as uncharacterized. The transcript has 3 exons. Lineage: Eukaryota; Viridiplantae; Streptophyta; Magnoliopsida; Solanales; Solanaceae. The record is from RefSeq and is a predicted model, not a curated record.
UGGUUCCGGGCCAUCUCAACAAUUUCUGCCACUUGGACAUGCAAAUGUUGCGAUGUCUUAACCUUCUCAAAUCCAAUUUUCUCAACCUAUGCAACAGGUUACUGGUAGACCUGUAGUAGGAAUGUAUAGUAUGCCUCAGGAACCACCUAUUCCCCAUGAUUUUCAGCGAAAUCUUUCGAUGUCAAAUAACCACAUGCCUGGUUCUGGUGGCCCAAAUUUACCUCUUUCUUCUUCAUAUAAUCAGAUACUAUUAUAAUAGAAGGACAAAAAUCUCUACCUGGGAGAAACCUCAAGAGCUGAUGACAGAAAUGGAG